RNAcentral lists this ribosomal RNA (505 nucleotides) under Hepatozoon sp. BT-2014. RNAcentral describes it as "bacterial SSU rRNA". It matches the Rfam family "Eukaryotic small subunit ribosomal RNA", at positions 360 to 867 of the family's 1831-position model. Lineage: Eukaryota; Apicomplexa; Hepatozoidae. The record is from RNAcentral.
GGUUACGGGGGAUUAGGGUUCGAUUCCGGAGAGGGAGCCUGAGAAACGGCUACCACAUCUAAGGAAGGCAGCAGGCGCGCAAAUUACCCAAUUCUAACAGCAUAAGAGAGGUAGUGACAAGAAAUAACAAUACAAGGCAGUUAAAAUGCUUUGUAAUUGGAAUGAUAGAAAUUUAAACACUUUUUAAAGUAUCAAUUGGAGGGCAAGUCUGGUGCCAGCAGCCGCGGUAAUUCCAGCUCCAAUAGCGUAUAUUAAAAUUGUUGCAGUUAAAAAGCUCGUAGUUGAAUUUCUGCUAAAAAUAACCGGUCUGCUUUUAACAAAAGUGGUAUCUUGGUGUGUUKUUAGCAAUAAUGUCSUUUGAAAUGUGUUUUACUUUGUUGUAAAAGAUAAUAUUCAGGAUUUUUACUUUGAGAAAAUUAGAGUGUUGCUAGCAGGCUAAUGUUUUGAAUACUGCAGCAUGGAAUAAUAAAAUAUGAUUUUGGUUCUACAUUGUUGGUUUUAAGAG